This 425-nucleotide ribosomal RNA is filed under the name uncultured bacterium. RNAcentral describes it as "bacterial SSU rRNA". It matches the Rfam family "Bacterial small subunit ribosomal RNA", at positions 359 to 776 of the family's 1533-position model. The record is from RNAcentral.
GAAUAUUGGACAAUGGGCGAAAGCCUGAUCCAGCAACGCCGCGUGGAGGAUGAAGGCCUUCGGGUUGUAAACUCCUGUCAGUAGGGACGAACGGGACGGGGUCAAUACCCCCGGCUCUUGACGGUACCUGCAGAGGAAGCCCCGGCUAACCCCGUGCCAGCAGCCGCGGUAAUACGGCGGGGGCAAGCGUUAUUCGGAAUUAUUGGGCGUAAAGGGCGCGUAGGCGGCCCUACAAGUCAGGGGUGAAAUCCCUCGGCUCAACCGAGGAAUUGCCUCUGAAACUGUAGGGCUUGAGUCCGGGAGAGGGUGGUGGAAUUCCCAGUGUAGCGGUGAUAUGCGUAGAUACUGGGAGGAACACCGGUGGCGAAGGCGGCCACCUGGACCGGUACUGACGCUGAGGCGCGAAAGCGUGGGGAGCAAACAGG